UCUGUAGUCAAGACGACAGAGCUGCAGUAGACCCAGACUCUGUAGUCAGGACGACAGAGCUGCAGUAGACCCAGACUCUGUAGUCAAGACGACAGAGCUGCAGUAGACCCAGACUCUGUAGUCAAGACGACAGAGCUGCAGUAGACCCAGACUCUGUAGUCAAGACGACAGUGUGUCUGGUGAGGCAGGUCGUAUGUUGUCCAGACAGGCCAGGCAGGUCUAAUGUUGUCCAGACAGGCCAGGCAGGUCUAAUGUUGUACAGACAGGCCAGGCAGGUUGUGUGUUGUACUGACAGGCCAGGCAGGUCUAAUGUUGUCCAGACAGGCCAGGCAGGUCUAAUGUUGUCCAGACAGGCCAGGCAGGUCUAAUGUUGUCCAGACAGGCCAGGCAGGUCUAAUGUUGUCCAGACAGGCCAGGCAGGUCUAAUGUUGUCCAGACAGGCCAGGCAGGUCGUGUGUUGUACUGACAGGCCAGGCAGGUCUAAUGUUGUCCAGACAGGCCAGGCAGGUCUAAUGUUGUCCAGACAGGCCAGGCAGGUCGUGUGUUGUACUGACAGGCCAGGCAGGUCUAAUGUUGUCCAGACAGGCCAGGCAGGUCUAAUGUUGUCCAGACAGGCCAGGCAGGUCUAAUGUUGUCCAGACAGGCCAGGCAGGUCUAAUGUUGUCCAGACAGGCCAGGCAGGUCUAAUGUUG
Long non-coding RNA from Oncorhynchus keta (chum salmon), 692 nucleotides. RefSeq lists it as uncharacterized. NCBI's taxonomy places the organism in Eukaryota, Metazoa, Chordata, Actinopteri, Salmoniformes, Salmonidae. The record is from RefSeq and is a predicted model, not a curated record. The transcript has 4 exons.